AAGGAUUUAAGUUAAAAAAACUAUUAACCUUCAAAGUUAACAAUAAUAUAAAUAAAUUAAGCCUUA
This 66-nucleotide transfer RNA is filed under the name Diartiger fossulatus. RNAcentral's name for it is "tRNA-Trp". Lineage: Eukaryota; Metazoa; Arthropoda; Insecta; Coleoptera; Staphylinidae. The record is from RNAcentral.